UGGACCAGUAACAUGACCUAAAAAAUAAGGAGAGCUUGAAAUACUUGUACAACUGGGUGAUAUUUCACAUGAAGAAAGGCUUCAGAAAGUGCUGAAACACAUAGAGUAUGAUUUGAUAGGUAUCCUUUACAUCUGAUUUUCUUUUCAGAACCAUGAAAAUUCUAAAGGCUUUAUAGCAAAAUAUGAAAUAAAAAGAAAUAUUUUACCUGUUGGAUCAAAGUCUGGAAAGUAAUCUGGGCAGUACUGAUGGGACAAUACUCCAGCCGGUGUAUCAUCCCAACACAGCCAUCCAUCCCAGGUGCCAGCAAGCCAUCCAAGCAGAAAUUGCUUACCAACAGAAGAGGUUCUGAAUACUUGAUACUUCUAACUCUAGAUGGACACUUACUCAGUUUAGCCACCGUAUAUGUGAUGUCACUCCUAAAGGUGCAAGCAAAUGGCGCCACAAAUACGACUGCCAAGCUGCCACCAAUACCUGUAGUCCUCAGCCGAAACACCGCUGGUUCUUUCGGGUAAUAAAUACUCUGCUUCCCACAUGCCGGGUACUGUUCUAGGUGCUGGAGACUCAGCAGUGAAGAAGACUAGCCAGGUCCCUGCCCUCAUGGGGCUUACAUUCUAGGUUUCGUGCACACUCGUCAUGGAGUUUAGUGGAAAGCAAUCUGGUUUGAAUGGUCAUGGAGUCAAGGAAUUCCUACUUUGAUGUAAGACAACCAGCCUACUUUUGGGUUACAGGUGGUUUCUAGAAGCACAGAGACAAAAAUAAUUACAGGACUGUUCUGUGUAAAACUUUAAGAAACGGUCCAUCUCUUCAGUGGUUUAAACCUAAUGAACGUGGGAACCCAUGCAAUGGUGCUAGCAUAGGGAAAGAUUCCUAAUGAUUAUCAGAGACACAACUACUUUAAAAGGAACAUGAUUCUAGAAUCCACAACCUGAUAGAACCAACAGGAUUCUGAUGUCGCCAUCCUUAAUACUGACAAUGUAGAUGUUAGGAUUUUAUUUGUAGGUUUCAGUUACUUACACUUUUCAAAAUAACAAUGGAUAAAACAGAACUUUGUAAAGUAUUAGCCCUGGUUUUUCCAGAUAGCAUCAGAUGGUUGGUGUCCUAUGUACUUUCUAUGCAAGCAUUAUAUAAACAACAAAACUGCUGCAUAAUUUUAAAUUCUAAGCAAAUAAGGGAAUGCAGCUUAAUUAACAACAGAAUGCUUCUCCAAAGAAUCUAGUUUUUCUAUGUCCUCAUCAUUAUUGUUAUAAUUAUCAUCAUCACUACAUUUUUGAGGCUCGCUAUGUGUCAAGCCCUGUCCUAAGUCUAUUUAUUGCAUUACUGUAGGUAAGGGAGAGAAAGUGAGGGGAUGGUUUUGCUUAAUGUAAACUUAGGCUCAUGGAAUGUGGUAACAAACUGAUACUUUAAAGAGCAUUUGGAAAUCAGGUUGGUAGAAUUCAACAGACAUACUCAUAGUGGUUUUUCAAACCAAUGUACUUAAGAAACAAUAUUUUAUAGUGAUUUAAAUCAAUAUCGCUUUAUUAAAAAAUUUAAUUUUCUUGGAGGAGUAUCCAUUGUGAAACACAAUGAAUGUUUUAGGAGGAAACCAACAUAUCAAAAAUUUUUUAUGGUAGAAUUCUCCAAAUCAAAUAUAUGAACCAAAUACAGGAUAAAGAAGCAAAUUUCUCUUUGUCACAGCAGAGAGCACAAAAUCACUCAGGUACCCUGUGCAGCAUGUUUGCUAGCAAAGAGAUGCUCACAAAUCAGAAAACUUUUUUGUCCAUGGCUCAAAUACAUGAAAUUCUUUUAAUGUCUGAAUUAUAAGAUAUAUUGGGUAAAAGUUUUGAAUAACAUAUCAGAAAUGAUCUCUCAUCUUUGCAG
Molecule: long non-coding RNA, 1858 nt
Organism: Mustela lutreola (European mink)
Lineage: Eukaryota; Metazoa; Chordata; Mammalia; Carnivora; Mustelidae
Exons: 3
Source: RefSeq, a predicted model, not a curated record